This 780-nucleotide ribosomal RNA is filed under the name uncultured bacterium. RNAcentral describes it as "bacterial SSU rRNA". It matches the Rfam family "Bacterial small subunit ribosomal RNA", at positions 8 to 814 of the family's 1533-position model. The record is from RNAcentral.
AGAGUUUGAUCCUGGCUCAGGACGAACGCUGGCGGCGUGCCUAACACAUGCAAGUCGAGCGAGGAGAGUUCUUCAAAAGCGGCGGACGGGUGAGUAACACGUGGGUAACCUACCUCAAAGAGGGGGAUAGCCUUCCGAAAGGAAGAUUAAUACCGCAUAAUCCAUUUAUUCCGCAUGGAAUGGAUGGUAAAGAUUUAUCGCUUUGAGAUGGACCCGCGGCGCAUUAGCUAGUUGGUGAGGUAACGGCUCACCAAGGCCACGAUGCGUAGCCGACCUGAGAGGGUGAUCGGCCACAUUGGAACUGAGACACGGUCCAGACUCCUACGGGAGGCAGCAGUGGGGAAUAUUGCACAAUGGGCGCAAGCCUGAUGCAGCAACGCCGCGUGAGUGAUGAAGGUCUUCGGAUUGUAAAGCUCUGUCUUUUGGGACGAUAAUGACGGUACCAAAGGAGGAAGCCACGGCUAACUACGUGCCAGCAGCCGCGGUAAUACGUAGGUGGCAAGCGUUGUCCGGAUUUACUGGGCGUAAAGGAUGCGUAGGCGGAUAUUUAAGUGAGAUGUGAAAUUCCCGGGCUUAACUUGGGAGCUGCAUUUCAAACUGGAUAUCUAGAGUGUGGGAGAGGAGAAUGGAAUUCCUAGUGUAGCGGUGAAAUGCGUAGAGAUUAGGAAGAACACCAGUGGCGAAAGCGAUUCUCUGGACCAUAACUGACGCUGAGGCAUGAAAGCGUGAGUAGCAAACAGGAUUAGAUACCCUGGUAGUCCACGCCGUAAAACGAUGAGU